UCAGAGCCAUGAGGGUGGAAUUGAAGUGGACGGUGUUGUCGUCUGCCACGGGCAGGUCCAUCCGCAGAAGCCUCUACAGAAAACCCAAGAGCUGGCCUCAAUCCUUCCCUGCCUCGUUCCGCCCCAGAGUUCUUCUGGAUGGCCCCGUUUCAGUCUGAUCCCAAAGAAAAAGAGCACAAGCUGGAUUUGAGCAGCACGUGCAACAGCCAAGGCUGAGGGGGCCAGGGCCACAGCCGAGGGUGGGGGCGCCGCCGGCUCCCCACCCCCACCUCCCGGCUUGGCCAGACCAGGACAGACCAGAUGGGCAGAGACCACAUCAUUCCUCUGAGAAGCGGCAGGCAGGCAGCCCCCCACUGACGGGGCAGGCCCCUCGCAGGCAUGCAGCGAGGCUGUGACACAGAACAGCACAGACGGGGCGCAUGCAGACGGAAUCUCGAGACUCAUUCAUAGCUCCGUGGGAAGUGUAUCUCAGGGACUUGUCCAGAUCUUGGCUCUCUGUGCAAUGGCAGGGGGAAGGGAUGAGGGGCAUUCCUGUGGCCCAGGGAAGAAAAGAUUCCCCAUGUCCCAGGCAGGGGUUCUGUCCACCGUGCUGGGUGGCAUGGGAGAGGAUGCUGGGCUGGUGUGCACCAGCCCAGGCUGGGGUGGCACAGAGAAGGGGGGUGAGGUCGAGUUGGGUGGGGAUUCCGACACACAUGGGCAGGAAACACAGAGCUAGAGAUGGGGAGAGGAAUGGUAAGCUCAGAGCAGGACACUAGAGGAGACACUGGGGCAAGGUGGGGAAGGAGCUGGGAAACAGAGAAACACAGACUGAGCCUCUGUGCACAGUUGUGCAGGCUGUGCACUGCACAAAGUGCUCCCAUCUUGGAAAUGAUACAUAGAUGUACUUAUUUAUUAAAAUAUUUUUUGCUUUCGUAGAGAUGGGGUCUUGCUAUGUUGGCCAGGCUAGUCUCGAACUGGGCUCAAGUGAUCCUCCCAUCUCAGCCUCCCAAAAACACUAGGAUUACAGGCAUGAGCCACGAUGCUUGGCCUCCAAUUUGUGCAUUAAAUACAACAGCUUCCCAGUUAAGAGCAGACAAGUGUCUUGUUCUCGCCACAUUGGCAGACUGCAACAAUUUUCCGAUGGACACGUUUUGUAGAAAGGGUGCCUUUUUCAAAUUUGCACCGAGCUGUCUGACGGACCCAUGGUGGGCCUGCACCAAGACGGGGAGGGGAAGGGCUCUUCCUCCCUCUCUUGCAUGCGCACACACAUCCAACUACGCAGACACUGAGAAGUGACUUGAGGAAAACGGGAGGGGAGCGACUGGUGCGGGGAGAGGCUCCUUGUCUGAGACGCUGGUGGGCCAACCUUGUCCCCGGCUUUGACUGAGAAGUGAGGGGAGACAUAUAGGUUAGGUGAGGAGUGGUGCACAGAGGAAGGAAAGAGAGGAGCUUGUGGGGAGGUGGCGACACGGGGCGGGUACAGAUAGCACUGAUGGAUGGGGAUGCAGAGAAGAUCAAGGCUGACGGGAGAACAGGUUGACAGGGUAGUAUUUUUUGGGUGGGGAGAAUCUUUAAAGGUCAUCCCAGAACUUCUCGUGGAUGAGUGGAGGAAACAGAGCAUCUGUCCUCGGGCGCCAAGGAAGAUUCCAGGACAGGGAUCUAGAGGGGUGGCCUGGCCCAGCCGCUUGGCGGCAGGACACUCGUGUUCUCAGCCAGCAUGCACCACCCCCCGUCGGCCAUGGUGCCUGCCCGCCCCAGGCCCCGCCAAGGCAGCGUGCAUGGCCUGCAUCAGUGUGCCACCGUCCAGGGGUCCAGCUGCGGCCGCCUGCCCACUCUGGAACAAUGGAGAGGCAUGUUGGGGUGUCUUGGGCAGAUUAGGGACAGGGGCUGGGGACGAAACUCCAUGGGAGGGAAGAGAGGGGAAGAGAGGUUCUUGGUGCUCCUUGGAAGGUCUCCAAUCCCCCAAGGCCCUAGGUCAGAGAUCAGCUUCAGGUGUGCGCGGGGUGGGGAGCUGGGGGCUCGAGGCACAAAAGAUGGGCCCGGGACCUUGCCUGCUCUCGGGGGCUUAAGCCCCUCUCUGCAAGGCGCCUGUCCCGGCCUGGGCAUGGGGGGCAGAAGUGGGAGGCGUGGGUUUUGACUCCCUGGAGAAGCGUGUUUGUUUCCAAUUUGGUACCUGGGAGACCAGGUGCAAGGGGACCUGGGCGCUCCCCUCCCCCUCCCCCCGGCGUGUCGGCCAUAAUGGAGUCUCAGAACACGAAGACACUCAUCAGAAAGGACGGACACAGUGUGCUGCUUGGAAUCGAGGGAUGGUCAUGAUCAGUUCACUCGAGAAAAGAAAAAAAAGAAUCAAAAACAAGAAGAGAAACGCUGGAAAAAGAGAGUCGGCUGGGUGUUUCUGGUCAGCACUAAAAAAAAUAAAAAAGGAAAAAAACAAAAAAAAACCCAGCGCCUGGACAUCGGUGGUCGGCAAGGGUAGUCUACCUUGUAAGCCACUCUGGCCGGGCACUUCUUCCCCAGACCCAGGGGCGGAGACAUGUGUCUCAGCAUCUGAUACAUGUCCAGGUAAGGCAUGCGGCCCCUGGCAGCACCGAAAACA
This is a long non-coding RNA of Cebus imitator (Panamanian white-faced capuchin), 2575 nucleotides long. RefSeq lists it as uncharacterized. Lineage: Eukaryota; Metazoa; Chordata; Mammalia; Primates; Cebidae. The transcript has 2 exons. The record is from RefSeq and is a predicted model, not a curated record.